GUAUUUUUAAUAAUAACUUACGUUCCAGGUAACUGGCCUUGGGGUUUGCGUCCAAGUGGUGAAAAACAAUCUGGCGCCUUCAAUGAAAAAGGCCGAAUUGGGGAUACAAUUUGGGAGAGGCUUUUGCUGUGAAGCUGAGGUAUUGGAGUUAGCUUGUGAACAUGGAGUCAUUGUCAAAGAAGGAAGCAACUACCUAAUAGAUGGGAAACUUUUCAGUGGUAAACAUGAAGCUGAGCACUUUCUAGUCGAAAAUGAUGGAAUUCUCAAUAAGAUAGUCUUGAUAUUAAGGAGACUGUUGUUUGAAAAGAGAAAAGAGCAUCACGUUAGAUCCUUGAAUGGAUGAGUUUUACUCAGAUAUAGUAGUUAGAUGUCAAAGGACCCAGCCACUUUUCUAACCUGUAGGAUCCUAGAACUUGAGAUUACAACAGUGUCUUCCUCUUCAGUUCCCUUCUGUUAUUUCAGAAGAAAGACAUAAUAGCUCAUGUGGUUGGGUCCUUUGGUUUAUCUUCAGACUUUCAUUCUUUGCUUGUUUAUCUUGUAAAAUCAUUUUAAAUACUCUGAUAAUGAAUUAUAAAUCUCUGUUGUAAUAUUAUUGUAGUUGCAAAGAACACCAAAAACAUCAAUUUUGAGUACUCUUUGAUGUAUUAUCUGUAAAAUAUUGUUUCAAUGCUUGUUGGACCUUAGAGACGAAGACAGAGACUUUUGUUAGACCUUCAUUAGAGGCUUGGCCAAACGAAACUCUAU
Quercus lobata is the source of this 744-nucleotide long non-coding RNA. RefSeq lists it as uncharacterized. Lineage: Eukaryota; Viridiplantae; Streptophyta; Magnoliopsida; Fagales; Fagaceae. The record is from RefSeq and is a predicted model, not a curated record. The transcript has 2 exons.